AAGUUACGGUGCUUAUUAAGCAUUUUAAAACCAAAGGUCCAGGCUGAGAUAGACGGAGUGAUUGGAGAGUCCAGACCGCCGUCCAGACAAGGAGGGGAAGUUUGUGAAGCGAGCUGCUUUCAUCCCAUUUUCUGCUGGGUUCCUUUUCAGUAAUGGGAACUCGUGGAAGCAACAGAGACGCUUCGCACUUUCAACCCUUCGUAAUUUGGGAUUUGGCAAGAAGUCCAUUGAAGCAGUCAUCUUGGAUGAAUUCACAUAUUGCGCAAAAGUCUUCAAAAGCUGUGGGGGAAACUUCUGUGUAGCAAUGCAUUGGGAGUCACCGACUCAGGAAGGAGACACGGUGAGAGUUGG
Long non-coding RNA from Trematomus bernacchii (emerald rockcod), 351 nucleotides. RefSeq lists it as uncharacterized. Lineage: Eukaryota; Metazoa; Chordata; Actinopteri; Perciformes; Nototheniidae. The transcript has 3 exons. The record is from RefSeq and is a predicted model, not a curated record.